Molecule: ribosomal RNA, 501 nt
Filed under: uncultured bacterium
Lineage: Bacteria
Description: partial 16S ribosomal RNA
Rfam family: Bacterial small subunit ribosomal RNA
Source: RNAcentral
AUUGAACGCUGGCGGCAGGCUUAACACAUGCAAGUCGAGCGGGGGAAGGUAGCUUGCUACCGGACCUAGCGGCGGACGGGUGAGUAAUGCUUAGGAAUCUGCCUAUUAGUGGGGGACAACAUCUCGAAAGGGAUGCUAAUACCGCAUACGUCCUACGGGAGAAAGCAGGGGAACUUCGGACCUUGCGCUAAUAGAUGAGCCUAAGUCGGAUGAGCUAGUUGGGGGGGUAAAGGUCUACCAAGGCGACGAUCUGUAGCGGGUCCGAAAGGAGGAUCCGACACACUGGGACUAAGGCCAGGCCCAGAUUCCUACGGGAGGCAGCGGUGGGGAAUUUGCGACAAUGGGGGGAACCAUGGUCCAGCCAUGCCGCGUGUGUGAAGAAGGCCUUAUGGUUGUAAAGCACUUUAAGCGAGGAGGAGGCUACUCUAGUUAAUACCUAGGGAUAGUGGACGUUACUCGCAGAAUAAGCACCGGCUAACUCUGUGCCAGCCGCCGCCGCAG